This 67-nucleotide transfer RNA is filed under the name Shewanella halifaxensis HAW-EB4. RNAcentral describes it as "tRNA-Und (NNN) (tRNA-Und-NNN-3-1)". Lineage: Bacteria; Pseudomonadati; Pseudomonadota; Gammaproteobacteria; Alteromonadales; Shewanellaceae. The record is from RNAcentral.
GUAUAACGGGCUAAAAGAUAGGAUGUAGGCUUUUUGGACGCGGGUUCGAGCCCCGCCGCCUCCACCA